UCAGAAGAUAAUGUCCUGGCAGUAAGCUCAGUGUUUCCAUAGCAUUCACUUCACAAAGCAUUACACAAAAGUUAUGUGGUUAUAAUAUGUCUUUCUAAUGUUCUUACAUGAUUGGUGAUCUGUUUGUGGCAGGGUCCCAGAGUUUGUGCAAGAAAAGCAGUUUGGAAAUUGGCUGAAGGAUGCACCUGACUGGGCAAUGUCCAGAAACAGAUCCUGGGGCACCCCCAUCCCACUGUGGUCAGUGAAGACUGAGGAAUGUGGAGAACGGAUUAUGGAAGUGGCCAUCUUUCUGUUUGAUGGCAUUGACCACCUGACCAUUCCAUCACACUGGGGAUGAGAAUCUCCGAGGUGUUUGACUGCUGGUUCGAGAGUGGCAGCAUGCCCUGUGCUCAGGUUCUUUAUCCAUUUGGAAAUGGGAGCUUGAGGAUGCUUUUCCUGCAGACUUCAUUGCCGAAGGCAUUGACCAAACCAGAGGGUGGUAUAUAUGGAUAUUCGUGCAGGGAAACAGACACCAAGGCUUUUCAGGAAGCAGUAUUUAUUAGUGUGCUGGUGGCUUAGAAGAUUCACAUCCAAAGGCUGAGCCCCAAGAACAAAGGGGCUCUCACCUUACACACCCUUGCAAGCAGGUUACAGAAGCAAGAAGCAAGGUUUAACCCAUCUAUGGUUGCAUGUGAGUCCAUUGGCUACUUCACCCCCAGUGCCGUGUGACCUUCUUCACGUUCAGAUUCUUUAAGUUUUCUCUCCCUGCUAUGCCAUCCCCUCCCCCUGCUACAUUAUCAGAACACAGCCUUGCUUGCUUUUUUCUGGCCCUCCUCCCUGCUACAUCGUUCCCCCCUUUGAUGCUGAGCCCCACCUAGGGUCAAAGAGCAUCAU
This 873-nucleotide long non-coding RNA is filed under the name Castor canadensis (American beaver). RNAcentral describes it as "lncRNA (ENSCCNG00000006922.1)". The record is from RNAcentral. Lineage: Eukaryota; Metazoa; Chordata; Mammalia; Rodentia; Castoridae.